AUCUAAAUAGCUUAUAAUUAGAGCAUAAUAUUGAAGAUAUUAAAGAGAUAAAUUUAUCUUUAGAUA
This 66-nucleotide transfer RNA is filed under the name Risoba obstructa. RNAcentral's name for it is "tRNA-Phe". The record is from RNAcentral. Lineage: Eukaryota; Metazoa; Arthropoda; Insecta; Lepidoptera; Nolidae.